Long non-coding RNA from Betta splendens (Siamese fighting fish), 3151 nucleotides. RefSeq lists it as uncharacterized. The record is from RefSeq and is a predicted model, not a curated record. The transcript is spliced from 3 exons. NCBI's taxonomy places the organism in Eukaryota, Metazoa, Chordata, Actinopteri, Anabantiformes, Osphronemidae.
CUCGCUCCCUCGCUCUGGAUGCUCUCAGUCUAAGUCGGAGUGUGGGACGGGACAGAGAGGACCGAGCUGAUCUCCUUGCUUCCAACCAGCACAUUUCCCGUCUGGGAGCGGGGCUCCCAUGGACUCCCCCUAUAACGGCAACACGUCCCUCCAGACGUCCACCUCCAACCUCAACGCGGGCUACUCUCGCCCGUCAGAGGCCGAGGACGACGGGAAAGUGUCCAGCGACACCAUCUGGCUGUGGAUCGCCGUGCUGGCGACCAUCGGCAACAUUGUGGUGGUGGCGGUGGUCUGUGCCUGCGCCUUCUGACAGGACGGAGGGGGGCGCUGUUGGAGUUCCUGCAGGAGCGACGUGAAGUAGCCUUAUUCUUAGAUGGAUGAAUGAGUUUGAAGAAGGAAACUAGCACCAGAUUCUUAUUUCCCACUUUUUUUUACCAACAAUAAUAAUUUUCAUAAUAACAAUAUAAUAACAGUAACAAUAAACACACAGCUAAUUACAAAAUUAAAUAUUUAAUUUAGGUUAAAAAUAUGAGGUGGAGGAAUCAAUCAACACAAUUCAACAGCCUAACUUGAACCUCACACUGACCAAACAGAACCACAGUCAGGGAUGCGAUGCAUGUAUGUGAGUGAAUCUAUCCACAAAUAAUUCACUCACUCACUUUGUGAGGGAAUUCAACCAGCAACCUUUCAAUCAAAUGCCCCAAUCUGAGAACUACAGUAAUUUAAAACACAACCGUGACUGAAAAUAUGUUUCGAUUCUCCGCUCAUUGUUAAAAAGGGUCACAGCCUCUAAGUGGGCACGUCUCACAAAAUCACCACUCCCAGUAAAUUGAUUCAUUGUGGAUUUCAGGAUGUGGCCUUAAAUUUACAGCGCGGCGCUGCUCAGUGGUCAGUUACGCAAGGCGAGGUGGUAUUAUAUAAACCCAUUCAAUCCCGGUUCCACCAGGCUCAGCAGAGAUCAGCGUCAGAACUCCAAGGAUUAGACUGGAUCGUAGUCGGAUCUAUUCGUGGGAUCAGACGCCAGGAGGAGCUGAUUUAGUGGCUAGACAGUCAGUUUGUGAACGGCCAGCGUGCUGAUGAUGAAAGCACUCAGCUCCAUCUCAUUCCUCGCCGUCCUGUCACUUUGACCCCUGCGUAUCCUCCUGCCAGGUAAAAAUGAAACAAACGGCCCAGAUUCUUUAAUGCAGCAGUUCAGCGAAGUCUCGCGACCCUCUCACGAAGCGGAUUCCAGUGCCCACGAACACCAGCGCUACGAGGUAAAAGCUCAGCUUCGCCCAAAGUGCGUGUCUUGGAGUUGGAGUCUGUAAAAAAGCCCAGAGGAAGCCACGUCCCUCCAGGGCUCGGCAGUGAUUUGCAGAAAUUUAACAAGGGAAGCAGGUCAGAGGAGGCGUUCCUCCCUGUCAGGGUCACUUUCCCCAUUAUACAGAGAAACACAUCAUUAAAAGUGGAGUCAUUUGCCUUCAUCUUCCUUUUAAAUCAGGGAGAGUUGGUGAGUGGAGGAAACUUCCAAAUGCUCACAGAGGUGAAUGAAGAAGACAGUUUGGGUGAAAGAAGCAGAGGAGGAUGAAACGGGAGCCGCUGAAUGAGACGGUUUCAGGAGGUCACGGUGAGGAGCGUGCCUCUCACUCGCACGCUCGCUCGCCCCGCUCCCUCUCUUUCUCUCCUCCUUCGCUCAGUGGCCCAGUCAGCUCUGGCUGCCAGGGAGCAGGACAGAUGGGACCGGGAACGGAACGAGCAGAGACGAUGUGGUCCGGUUCAUGUGAGAUCAAACCAAGUACCAAGUAUUUCUAUCUUACACCAAGACUUUCCAUGGAUGAACAUUUUUGUGGCCCUUGUUUGGUCAGUUGAGGCUCCAGCCGGCUGUGUCAGCCAAUUACAGCAUAUAAUAGGUUAAAUGGCUAGCUUAGCAUUAGCGUCUGCCCGUGUCACGCACCCACGCCACCGCCACUCUCCAGCUCCAUCCGCCCACAGCACCACAGUGGGCUCAGCUGCUCAGCCACACGGUUCUUAUCUCUGAUCAUCAUACGAAAGAAAUGCUGGAGACACACGCUCAGGGGACGAGCUCAUGUGAUGAUCUGUUCCUGGGUUGUAGGAGUAACCUGAAAUCAGUCCUGGAGAAGCUGUUUGAUGGCAACCUACACAAAAGCAGUUCAAUAUUUCAAUCAAUAAUGGGUCACUGUACAAACUGCAGUGUGGCGACAUGCGGGGCUCAACUGGAAGCGGAGUAAAGAACAGAUGUGGUGGCCCAUCCGACCAUAACACAGUGUUUCUGGGUACGAGCUGUAGAUAUUUGGACAAGCAUCCACUUAGAAUCAAAAAAAUUAUUUUGCCGCAUUCCUCAGAAUACUUUUGUUCGUCCACGUUAUAAUGUAUUUAUACUGAUGAUAAGAAACCAACUAUAGACAUCACUGUGAAGGUUAUAUGCAAAAUGUUGAAAUAUGAUGACACAUUAAACUAAUGACACAUUGUUAAAUGUGUCAUUAGUUUUGAUGGAUCAAACAGAUUCACACAUUAAGACAAAGAGAGAAUGCUAAAUGUAAAGUUUCCAUUAAAGUAAUACACAUCACAUUUCCUUUAAGUUUCCUCUCUGAUGGAGUAAAUGGUCUGAAGUCAUCCACACUCAAAUAAAUCUAUAUGCUUCGAUUUGCACAUGUGUUUGUAUGAAGCUUUAGACUUGUCUGUUGUUUUCUCAGUUUAAGUGUAAAACUGUGACAUUAGCUUGUGUGUUAUCUGUCUGUCACACGUAAUAGACCUUUACCCUUAAAAGGGCCAUAUGUUAAAAUGAAUCUUUCCAAGGUCCUUAUUGUAUGUGUAGAUUUAGUUGUAAUAUAACUUGACUAAUGAAUGAGAAUGUGAGUGACUGGAUGUCACCUUCAUAUUACACUGUUGUGUUACAGUUUCAGUGACUACUCCUGUAGUUCAUAGUGUAUGAAUGCACUGAUAAAGGCUUAACUUAAGCUUUAUUGACCCAACAAGAAAAACCAACACACACUGAAGACAGAAUGCAAAUACAUUUAUUGUGUAUAUAUUUAUUACUGUAAGUGUUUCACAUGUCACUGUUGUAUAAAAAGUUUAGUUUGUGAAAAUUCCUACAUGUACUUCAUUUCAGCAUUGUUACUGUUGACUAUAAAUAAAUGGAUUCUACAUGUGA